GCACCACGACCUCCACAGCUGGCACGCCGAGAGCUGCUACGAGAAGUCUUCAUUUCUGUGUAAAAGAAGUCAAACAUGUGUUGACAUCAAGGACAACGUGGUGGAUGAAGGGUUCUACUUCACCCCUAAGGGGGACGACCCAUGCCUGAGCUGCACCUGCCAUGGAGGGGAGCCUGAGAUGUGUGUGGCUGCUCUCUGUGAGAGGCCCCAGGGCUGCCAACAGUACCGCAAGGACCCCAAAGAGUGCUGCAAGUUCAUGUGUCUGGACCCAGAUGGCAACAGCCUGUUUGACUCCAUGGCCAGCGGGAUGCGCCUGGUUGUCAGCUGCAUCUCCUCCUUCCUCAUCCUGUCACUGCUGCUCUUCAUGGUCCACCGGCUGCGCCAGCGGCGCAGGGAGCGCAUCGAGUCCCUGAUUGGAGCAAACUGUAAGUGCCUUCUGAGGGCCACAGCCCUGGCCCCCAUCCCCACCCCAGGUCACCCCAUGUCUCCAUGAGCUCCCCAGCCCUGGACAGAGAGGGGCAGAGGCAGGUGGAGGGCCCCCUGGUCAGGUUUGAAGGCCACAUGUUGUGGGGUCUGUGUCCUCACCUGUGGGCCAGGAAAGUUCUUGCCAAGACCCUCCUUAUUCCCACCGAGCCACAGGGUGGGCAGAACUCGGAGGUGUCUGAGGGUCAGAGGCCCGGAUCACCCACCAGCUGGAGGGGUGUGGGCAGCCAGAGGCUGGGUCUGACAGAAGUGUCAGCCCAGAGGGACAGGUUGGUGUGGUGAGGGUGGGACACGCCAUGGAGCACACCGGGGGUCUCGCGGGGAUGCCGAACGUGGCCGAGGGGUAGGCAGCGGGGCACAGGUGUGUGCACUCAGGGACAGCGGGCCCAGCCUGGGGGUGGGGGGCUCGGGAGCCAGGCAGCCUGCCCCCAGUGACUUGUCUUUGUUCCCGUUCCACACUUUUGAUGGCCCAGUGCACCACUUCAACCUCGGCCGCAGGAUCCCUGGCUUUGAUUACGGCCCAGACGGGUUUGGCACGGGCCUCACGCCGCUGCAUCUUUCUGACGACGGAGAGGGUGGGACUUUCCAUUUCCAUGACCCUCCACCUCCCUACACAGCGUACAAGUACCCGGACAUCGGCCAGCCCGACGACCCCCCGCCGCCCUACGAGGCCUCCAUCCACCCGGACAGUGUGUUCUAUGACCCUGCAGACGAUGAUGCUUUUGAGCCUGCGGAGGUCAGCCUGCCAGCCCCUGGGGAUGGUGGGAGUGAAGGUGCAUUACCCCGGCGCCUGGAGCAGCCUCUGCCCACUGCGGGGGCCUCUCUGGCAGACCUGGAAGACUCUGCCGAUAGCAGCAGUGCCCUGCUCGUGCCCCCUGACCCUGCCCAGAGCGGGAGCAUCCCAGCUGCAGAGGCACUGCCAGGGGGCGGCCGCCACAGCCGCAGCUCCCUCAAUACUGUGGUGUAGACGGCCCGGCCUGUACCCCAACGGUCUGGGAGCACCUGUCUGUUGUCGAAAACACCGGUCCCUGGGGAGACUUGAAAGGCCCCUGUCCCAGCCUGGACGCCGCACACUGCCGCACAUCACUGGCGGGCAUGCGUGUGUACAUAGAGACCACAGCCCGCCUCCUGCCAAAAGAAGUGAUGGCCUGCACCGAGCUUCCUUGAGGGCUUCAGAAACAUGCAUAGCUUUGGAUCACUGUCUUCUCCUUUAUAAAUGGCAGAAGACAAAAUUCAUUCAGACCACACAUGUUAGAGGCAGGGAAUGAAGAAGGUACUGUGGGCCGUGGCCACACCUGACGCGUCUUUGGUGGGCCUGCUCGGUGCAGUGCGCUGUCCAGAGAGACCUGCUGACCCAGUCUGGGACGGGCACAGCGGGAGCUGCUACGGUGCCCCUUGCUGGCUGCCCUUAGGAGGGGGCCUCUGGACUGUCAGUGUGGUGUAGGCAGUGGGUCUGCUGCAGGGAGGCAGCCUCUUGACUUUGCCACAACAGCUGCACUGAAGAUGGCCCCCACAAGCCCGGUUGUGAAUAUCAAGGUGACCCUGCCCCUGGCUGGGAGCUCCCCUGGGGCUCUGGAACCUGAAGCCCUGAGAAGGAGAGCUUGGAAGGAGGUUGAGCUCUUCACUGUGUCUUUCCAUCUGGGCUCUGCAGCCCAGCUCUGUGGCAGGAGGCCUGACCCCACCCCGUCGGUCCCUCCCAGCAUUGCUGUGCAUGGCUCCCUCAGGAAGAAGCUCUGGAGUGGGGCCGAGGCCCCAGAUGCUCUGCUGGGGUCUGGGGACUGAGCUGCCUCCUGUCUCUCUACUCUGGAGCCCUGGGCUCUUGCCUCCUGUUGAAUUGCCCCUGGGCCUGCCCCCAGUCCCGUUUGUGCCAUAAAGGGUUGCUUCAUUGCAGGAGGGGUGGCUGAAACCACCAUCCUGGGCUGCAUCUAUCUACUUAAAGUCCACUCCUUACAUCAUCGCCACUGCUGCACCUCAGUGCCCAGCGGCCGC
Molecule: small RNA, 2472 nt
Filed under: Pongo abelii (Sumatran orangutan)
Lineage: Eukaryota; Metazoa; Chordata; Mammalia; Primates; Hominidae
Description: retained intron
Source: RNAcentral